Molecule: long non-coding RNA, 658 nt
Organism: Brienomyrus brachyistius
Lineage: Eukaryota; Metazoa; Chordata; Actinopteri; Osteoglossiformes; Mormyridae
Exons: 2
Source: RefSeq, a predicted model, not a curated record
GUGGUAUCUGAAGCAACAGAAAUGAAAAAAGAGCUGAAAUUUCCCAAAGAAACACUAUAUAAGUAGAACAUUUGAAAUUUCUUUAGCUCCAAACUCCAUAUUGACUAAGUCUAAUAAAUCUUCCCUGUUAUGUUAUAACCUGUAAAUUACAAAAUUUUACUCUGCCUCAUUUGAAUAAAUGCCUCAUUUAAAUUAUUCUUGUACUGUUAUUGUAUUCCUACAUUUUUUGUUGUAAUUUUUGAUCAUUUCUACUUGCAUUUUCAGAAGGUUGCACAUUCUGAUAAUGUACUUGACCUUUUCAAUCAAAACAUGUUUGAGUAUUCAUUAAAUAUGUGUUUAAGAAGAUUAUUAACUAAUUCCACUGACAUGAGAAAGGCAGAAACAAAUGGCAGUUGACAAAAUGGCAAAUUUCGUAGUGGCAGAUUGAUGCAGGGGAUAGACUGAGUGGUGAUUCCUGAUAACAGUGAUGGAAGUGGCGGGAAAAUUGCAAACAACAAAUUAAUGAAUAAUGAAUUGACACUACUCACGGAUGUCUCUUUGCCCACAACAAUGUCGAAGUUCUGAAGGAUCUCAACUAUAGCCAGUUUCACAAGGACAAGAGCGAAUCUCAUUCCAAUGCAGUUGCGGGGCCCAGCUCCAAAAGGCAAAUAUAAGUAUG